This 273-nucleotide long non-coding RNA is filed under the name Theobroma cacao (cacao). Its description in RNAcentral is "long non-coding RNA (TCAC_LNC005105)". Lineage: Eukaryota; Viridiplantae; Streptophyta; Magnoliopsida; Malvales; Malvaceae. The record is from RNAcentral.
GCGCCUGUAUUGCUCUGACCCGCAGCUCUUGACCCAGAAUUUGGCCCCGCUUGUUCACUUGCACCACUCUCAUCUCUUGUACUCGUUGAGGCCCGCCCUUUAGAUGAUUUUGGAGCAGUGUCAUCUUGUUCACCACAUUCAUGUUGUUUACGUGGACGAGUUGAGCCUCGUCUUUUAUCGUAAGCUUGUCUUGAAGAGGGUUCUGACAGGACCUCCCAGGCCUCGGAAACAAGCUUGAAUGCACCGUCAGCCGCUGCAGAGCUGUUCUUGUCG